RNAcentral lists this ribosomal RNA (642 nucleotides) under Cortinarius infractiflavus. RNAcentral describes it as "eukaryotic LSU rRNA". It matches the Rfam family "Eukaryotic large subunit ribosomal RNA", at positions 1 to 625 of the family's 3401-position model. Lineage: Eukaryota; Fungi; Basidiomycota; Agaricomycetes; Agaricales; Cortinariaceae. The record is from RNAcentral.
UGACCUCAAAUCAGGUAGGACUACCCGCUGAACUUAAGCAUAUCAAUAAGCGGAGGAAAAGAAACUAACAAGGAUUCCCCUAGUAACUGCGAGUGAAGCGGGAAAAGCUCAAAUUUAAAAUCUGGCAGUCUUUGGCUGUCCGAGUUGUAAACUAGAGAAGUGUUAUCCGCGCUGGACCGUGUACAAGUCUCCUGGAAUGGAGCGUCAUAGAGGGUGAGAAUCCCGUCUUUGACACGGACUACCAGGGCUUUGUGAUGCGCUCUCAAAGAGUCGGGUUGUUUGGGAAUGCAGCUCAAAAUGGGUGGUAAAUUCCAUCUAAAGCUAAAUAUUGGCGAGAGACCGAUAGCGAACAAGUACCGUGAGGGAAAGAUGAAAAGAACUUUGGAAAGAGAGUUAAACAGUACGUGAAAUUGCUGAAAGGGAAACGCUUGAAGUCAGUCGCGUUAUCCAGGGAUCAACCUUGCUUUUGCUUGGUGUACUUUCUGGUUGACGGGUCAGCAUCAAUUUUGACUAUUGGAAAAAGAUUAGGGGAAUGUGACAUCUUCGGAUGUGUUAUAGCCCUUGGUUGCAUACAAUGGUUGGGAUUGAGGAACUCAGCACGCCGCAAGGCCGGGUAAUCUUACCACGUACGUGCUUAGGAUG